This 836-nucleotide non-coding RNA is filed under the name Euproctis similis. The record is from RNAcentral. Lineage: Eukaryota; Metazoa; Arthropoda; Insecta; Lepidoptera; Erebidae.
AUUAAAUAUAUAUUGAUUUUUGGGUUAAAAAUUAAUCUAAAUUUAAUAAAUUUUGUAUGAAUUGCAAAAAUUAUUAUUUAAAAAUUUAUUUUAAAAUUAUUUUAUAUAUGAAUUUUUGUAAAAAAAUUAAUUAAUUUAAAAAAUUUUUAAAAAAUGUAGUAAUUAAUAUUAAAUAUUUAAGAAAUUAAGAUUUAGUAAUUUAAAAUUAAUGACAAAUUUUGUGCCAGCAGUUGCGGUUAAACAAAGAUUAAAUUAAAUUUUUUUAGUAAUUAAUUAAUAAAUAAUAAUAAAAUAUAAAAAUUGAAUUAUUAAGUGAAAUUUUAAUUUAAUAAAAAUAUUAUAUAAUUUUUAUGAAUUAAAAAAAUUAAUUAAUAAACUAGGAUUAGAUACCCUAUUAUUUUAAUUUAAGUUAAAUAUACUAAAUUAGUAAAUAAUUAUUUAUUGAAAAUUAAAUGAGUUGGCGGUAUUUUAGUUUAUUUAGAGGAAUCUGUUUAAUAAUUGAUAAUCCACGAAUAAAUUUACUUAAUUUAAAAUUUUGUAUAUCGUUGUUAAAAAAAUAUUUUUUAAAAAUUAAUAAUAUUUUAAUUUUUAAAAUAAAAAUUAAAUCAGAUCAAGAUGCAGAUUAUAAUUAAGAAUAUAAUGGAUUACAAUAAAUUUAUUUUAUGGAUAAUAAUUUGAAAUAAUUAUUUGAAAUUGGAUUUAAAUGUAAUUUUAUUUAAUUUAUUAAAAUGAUUUUAAAUUUAAAAUAUGUACAUAUUGCCCGUCGCUUUCAUAUAAUAAUAAGUUGAAAUAAGUCGUAACAAAGUAGAGGUACUGGAAAGUGUUUCUAGAAAGAA